RNAcentral lists this ribosomal RNA (117 nucleotides) under Salmonella enterica subsp. enterica serovar Virchow. RNAcentral describes it as "partial 23S ribosomal RNA". The stretch from base 1 to 105 matches the Rfam family "Bacterial large subunit ribosomal RNA", at positions 2821 to 2925 of the family's 2925-position model. The record is from RNAcentral. Lineage: Bacteria; Pseudomonadati; Pseudomonadota; Gammaproteobacteria; Enterobacterales; Enterobacteriaceae.
AGUCUCCUGAAGGAACGUUGAAGACGGCGACGUUGAUAGGCCGGGUGUGUAAGCGCAGUGAUGCGUUGAGCUAACCGGUACUAAUGAACCGUGAGGCUUAACCUUACAACGCCGAAG